UUAGUACAAUGUCGAAAUUUAAGUUAAGAUUGAUUUUGUCUUGUUUAAUUAGCUUAAAUUAGAUAAUUUUAUAUACAAAUUUUUAUGCGAUGAAAUAUUUUCUUAAUGAUUAUUAUUUAUUUAUAAUUGUAGUUUUUUAUAUUAAUAUUUAUGGGAACAUAGAUUUAGUUAAUUGAUUGAAGGGUUGUAAAAAGUUGUGCCAGCAUACGCGGUUACACAAUUGAUUCAAGUUAAUUUUUUUGGUUUUUAUUUAUAUU
This 257-nucleotide ribosomal RNA is filed under the name Psilolomia parva. Its description in RNAcentral is "partial small subunit ribosomal RNA". The record is from RNAcentral. Lineage: Eukaryota; Metazoa; Arthropoda; Insecta; Hemiptera; Coreidae.